CGUGAGUGAUGAAGGUUUUCGGAUCGUAAAGCUCUGUUGUUAGGGAUUAACAAGUGCCGUUCAAAUAGGGCGGCACCUUGACGGUACCUAACCAGAAAGCCACGGCUAACUACGUGCCAGCAGCCGCGGUAAUACGUAGGUGGCAAGCGUUGUCCGGAAUUAUUGGGCGUAAAGGGCUCGCAGGCGGUUUCUUAAGUCUGAUGUGAAAGCCCCCGGCUCAACCGGGGAGGGUCAUUGGAAACUGGGGAACUUGAGUGCAGAAGAGGAGAGUGGAAUUCCACGUGUAGCGGUGAAAUGCGUAGAGAUGUGGAGGAACACCAGUGGCGAAGGCGACUCUCUGGUCUG
Molecule: ribosomal RNA, 345 nt
Filed under: Bacillus sp. (in: firmicutes)
Lineage: Bacteria; Bacillati; Bacillota; Bacilli; Caryophanales; Bacillaceae
Description: bacterial SSU rRNA
Rfam family: Bacterial small subunit ribosomal RNA
Source: RNAcentral